UAUAAUGUUUCAAGAGGAUGAGAACUUUCUAAUUCGAUAUACAGAGACAUUACGGUUGGUGGAAGUAAUGCGAAAUUAAGUUCAUGCUCCCUCACGAAAGUGUUUGUGAAAGCAGACCGUUAAUCGGCGUUAACGAUUUUAAAGAGGUAAUGAUAUAGAUAGUCAUUGCAAACGGAGUGGUACCGCGUUCUAGCGUCUCCGUA
Molecule: non-coding RNA, 203 nt
Filed under: Weissella viridescens
Lineage: Bacteria; Bacillati; Bacillota; Bacilli; Lactobacillales; Lactobacillaceae
Source: RNAcentral